CAGUAGCCGCGGUAAUACAGAGGGUGCAAGCGUUAAUCGGAAUUACUGGGCGUAAAGCGCGCGUAGGUGGUUUGUUAAGUUGGAUGUGAAAGCCCCGGGCUCAACCUGGGAACUGCAUCCAAAACUGGCAAGCUAGAGUACGGUAGAGGGUGGUGGAAUUUCCUGUGUAUCGGUGAAAUGCGUAGAUAUAGGAAGGAACACCAGUGGCGAAGGCGACCACCUGGACUGAUACUGACACUGAGGUGCGAAAGCGUGGGGAGCAAACAGGAUUAGAUACCCGAGUAGUCCCUGUCUCUUAUAC
RNAcentral lists this ribosomal RNA (301 nucleotides) under uncultured bacterium. RNAcentral describes it as "partial 16S ribosomal RNA". It matches the Rfam family "Bacterial small subunit ribosomal RNA", at positions 509 to 807 of the family's 1533-position model. The record is from RNAcentral.